UCGUGGUCUUAUUUGAAUUGACACUCAUGAAUUACUUACACCUACUCCUUCUAGUUAGUCUAUUCCAGUAUACGAUAUAAGACAGCAUUAUAAAUUAUAGUUAAUAUAUCCUAAAACAAGAACACAACUUUAUUGAUUACCGGUAUACCAUUAUUCCAUCAUUUAACAUUACUCUACUAAAAAUCAGAAAUUCUUUUUGUGC
RNAcentral lists this long non-coding RNA (202 nucleotides) under Mytilus galloprovincialis (Mediterranean mussel). Lineage: Eukaryota; Metazoa; Mollusca; Bivalvia; Mytilida; Mytilidae. The record is from RNAcentral.